Molecule: ribosomal RNA, 265 nt
Filed under: uncultured bacterium
Lineage: Bacteria
Description: partial 16S ribosomal RNA
Rfam family: Bacterial small subunit ribosomal RNA
Source: RNAcentral
UACAGAGGGUGCGAGCGUUGUCCGGAAUCACUGGGCGUAAAGGGCGCGUAGGUGGCGCGACAAGUCAGUGGUGAAAGUUCGACGCUCAACGUCGAAUCGGCCACUGAUACUGUUGGGCUUGAGCACUGUAGAGGCUAAUGGAAUUCCGGGUGUAGCGGUGGAAUUCGUAGAUAUUCGCAAGAACACCAGUGGCGAAGGCGGCUCACUGGCCCGAUACUGACGCUGAGGCACGAAAGCGUGGGGAGCAAACAGGGAGUUAGAAACC